Molecule: unclassified non-coding RNA, 329 nt
Filed under: soil metagenome
Description: partial contains 5.8S ribosomal RNA, internal transcribed spacer 2, and large subunit ribosomal RNA
Rfam family: 5.8S ribosomal RNA (bases 1-120)
Source: RNAcentral
GAUGAAGAACGUAGCGAAAUGCGAUAAGUAAUGUGAAUUGCAGAAUUCAGUGAAUCAUCGAAUCUUUGAACGCACAUUGCGCCCCCUGGUAUUCCGGGGGGCAUGCCUGUCCGAGCGUCAUUACAACCCUCAAGCUCAGCUUGGUGUUGGGCCCCGCCGCCCGGGCGGGCCCUAAAGUCAGUGGCGGUGCCGUCCGGCUCCGAGCGUAGUAAUUCUUCUCGCUCUGGAGGUCCGGUCGUGUGCUCGCCAGCAACCCCCAAUUUUUUUCAGGUUGACCUCGGAUCAGGUAGGGAUACCCGCUGAACUUAAGCAUAUCAAUAAGCGGAGGA